Molecule: ribosomal RNA, 253 nt
Filed under: uncultured bacterium
Lineage: Bacteria
Description: partial 16S ribosomal RNA
Rfam family: Bacterial small subunit ribosomal RNA
Source: RNAcentral
UACGUAGGGUGCAAGCGUUGUCCGGAAUUAUUGGGCGUAAAGAGCUCGUAGGCGGUCUGUCGCGUCGGCUGUGAAAACCCGAGGCUCAACCUCGGGCCUGCAGUCGAUACGGGCAGACUAGAGUGUGGUAGGGGAGACUGGAAUUCCUGGUGUAGCGGUGAAAUGCGCAGAUAUCAGGAGGAACACCGAUGGCGAAGGCAGGUCUCUGGGCCACUACUGACGCUGAGAAGCGAAAGCAUGGGGAGCGAACAGG